AGGUAGGGAUACCCGCUGAACUUAANCAUAUCAUAA
This 36-nucleotide ribosomal RNA is filed under the name Cladonia rei. Its description in RNAcentral is "partial 28S ribosomal RNA". Lineage: Eukaryota; Fungi; Ascomycota; Lecanoromycetes; Lecanorales; Cladoniaceae. The record is from RNAcentral.